RNAcentral lists this long non-coding RNA (317 nucleotides) under Carica papaya (papaya). RNAcentral's name for it is "long non-coding RNA (CPAP_LNC007447)". The record is from RNAcentral. Lineage: Eukaryota; Viridiplantae; Streptophyta; Magnoliopsida; Brassicales; Caricaceae.
CUAAGAGAAAACACCCUUAAGGCCCUCGGUGGACCAAAACAAUACAAAAAACUGAAACUUACCGGUGGUGGGGCUUUCCGGUGCAGCGGCUCCUUCGGCUCACAUCGUGAUUUGGUGUUUUGCUCCGGUCAACCUGUAGAGGAGGAAACGGUGAUAACAAAGGUAGAAAAAUCACGUCGAACAGGAAUCGAGAAGGGCCUCAUCGGAGGCAAAAAUCGAGACACCCCGCAACGGCGCCGCUGGGCUUCUGCGGCAUUUUUCGGCCAAUUGGCCGGUGUUUUCGCUCCGAUUUAACUAUAGGUGGGUUUAAAAUCAAA